RNAcentral lists this long non-coding RNA (1133 nucleotides) under Panax ginseng (ginseng). RNAcentral describes it as "long non-coding RNA (PGIN_LNC014608)". The record is from RNAcentral. Lineage: Eukaryota; Viridiplantae; Streptophyta; Magnoliopsida; Apiales; Araliaceae.
CACCCAAAAAAAACAACUAAAUUGCUGAUAACUAUUAUUCUAUUAACGCUAUAAAAUAAAAUUUUAAUAAAAUAAUAAUAAUCAGUGUCAGCACUCAGCAGAGCACACCGGAUCCACAGAGUGCUGCACCUGCAAUGGUUGAAUGGAAUCUCUUUCCCUCUCUAAACUUAUUAAAUUUUUUCUCUCUCGUAGUUUGAGCUAGCUCUGCUCAAGAGGGAGAAGAACUCAAGAAAAAAGACCCAUCACUCCAAUUCAAUACUACUCCACUAAUCAAGAACCACUAACAGAAUUAACCCAGAAACAUAAAUUUAUAAAAAAAAACAGAGAAAUUAAUAACACCAUCAUUCCUCAAGUAGUCAUCAGUAAUAAUAUUGAUAUUUCUCCCUCCUCAAAUCCUAUACUCAGUAACAUUAAGAAUCCUUUUCCCCCAAAAAAUCUACCAAUAAAAGAAGGAAAAGUAAAAAAAAAGAAAAUUAUAUAUACAUGAUGUUCAUCCGUGUGCUCUGUUUAUAUCUCAAAGAAGAAAAAAGCAGAGGAAAUUCAUGGAGGGUUGUUUUAGAGAGAGAAAAAGCACUCUCUCUCUCUAACCCUUUUGAAUUAAAUCUGUAGUAUUUUCAUCAAGAAUCAGAGUAAUCUCUCCAGCAGAUGAGCAUGGUGACACAGCGCCUCAUGAUGUAAAAUCUAGCUCUUUGUUCCUUCACAAGACUAGCACACUUUCUAGUAAAAGCACACCUCCUGUGAUUUGAUGAUUUUGAUGAAGAAGAUGAAUUUCUCACCAGGGAUGAAGAUGAAGAGCUUCUUCUCGAUCCUUCUUUCUUGGACAAUUUCCAUUUCUCAUCUAAAUAAAACUGCUGGGGUUGCGAUGAAGUUGUAGUUGAACCAGUACUAACUGUAUCAGCCAUUGAUACAGAGUACUUCUAAGAAAUGAAACUCAAACCUCCUCUGGGCUUUCUUUUCGGGACAACAAAAAGAAGAGAGAGAAAACAAUGGAGUAAAUCACAGUUUUUUCGUUGAAGAUGAUGAGAGAGGGAGGAGUGGGAUCAAUAUUUAUAAGGAGAAGACAGAAAAUAAAAAUAAAUAAAUAAAUAAAAGGAAGCAGAUGGGUGUGGCAGUGGUUAUCACCUGGGCCUUCU